CCAAUACUGACACUGAGGAGCGAAAAGCGUGGGGAGCGAACAGGAUUAGAUACCCUGGUAGUCCACGCCGUAAACGGUGGGCGCUAGUUGUGCGAACCUUCCACGGUUUGUGCGACGCAGCUAACGCAUUAAGCGCCCCGCCUGGGGAGUACGAUCGCAAGAUUAAAACUCAAAGGAAUUGACGGGGCCCCGCACAAGCAGCGGAGCAUGCGGCUUAAUUCGACGCAACGCGAAGAACCUUACCAAGGCUUGACAUAUACAGGAAUAUGGCAGAGAUGUCAUAGCCGCAAGGUCUGUAUACAGGUGGUGCAUGGUUGUCGUCAGCUCGUGUCGUGAGAUGUUGGGUUAAGUCCCGCAACGAGCGCAACCCUCGUUCUGUGUUGCCAGCAUUAAGUUGGGGACUCACAGGAGACUGCCGGGGUUAACUCGGAGGAAGGUGGGGAUGACGUCAAAUCAUCAUGCCCCUUAUGUCUUGGGCUGCACGCAUGCUACAAUGGCUGGUACAAACGGCUGCGAUACCGCAAGGUGGAGCGAAUCCGAUAAAGCCAGUCUCAGUUCGGAUUGGGGUCUGCAACUCGACCCCAUGAAGUCGGAGUUGCUAGUAAUCGUAGAUCAGCAACGCUACGGUGAAUACGUUCCCGGGGCUUGUACACACCGCCCGUCACAUCACGAAAGUCGGUAACACCCAAAGUCAGUGGCCCAACCGUAAGGAG
Molecule: ribosomal RNA, 713 nt
Filed under: uncultured Actinomycetes bacterium
Lineage: Bacteria; Bacillati; Actinomycetota; Actinomycetes
Description: bacterial SSU rRNA
Rfam family: Bacterial small subunit ribosomal RNA
Source: RNAcentral